AAGUUAUAUCGAGGAAGUUUUCGGAUGGAAUCGGUAUAACUUAGUGGCGAACGGGUGAGUAACGCGUGAAUAACCUGACUCAAAGAGGGGGAUAACAACGGGAAACUGUUGCUAAUACCGCAUGAGACCACAACACCGCAUGAUGAAGGGGUCAAAGAUUUAUCGCUUUGAGAGGGGUUCGCGUCCCAUUAGGUAGUUGGUGAGGUAACGGCUCACCAAGUCGACGAUCGGUAGCCGGACUGAGAGGUUGAACGGCCACAUUGGGACUGAGACACGGCCCAGACUCC
RNAcentral lists this ribosomal RNA (287 nucleotides) under uncultured bacterium. Its description in RNAcentral is "partial 16S ribosomal RNA". It matches the Rfam family "Bacterial small subunit ribosomal RNA", at positions 59 to 339 of the family's 1533-position model. The record is from RNAcentral.